UUGAGGCGCUGUAAGAUGGGCGUGCGUGCUAUUAGCUAGUUGGUGAGGUAACGGCUCACCAAGGCUACGAUAGCUAGGGGGCGUGAGAGCGUGGCCCCCCACACGGGUACUGAGACACGGACCCGACUCCUACGGGAGGCAGCAGUAAGGAAUAUUGGACAAUGGUCGGAAGACUGAUCCAGCCAUCCCGCGUGAAGGAUGACUGCCCUAUGGGUUGUAAACUUCUUUUAUAUGGGAAGAAACCCCUGGAUUUAUCUGGGGCUGACGGUACCAUAUGAAUAAGCACCGGCUAACUCCGUGCCAGCAGCCGCGGUAAUACGGAGGGUGCAAGCGUUAUCCGGAAUCACUGGGUUUAAAGGGUGCGUAGGUGGCUUGGUAAGUCAGAGGUGAAAGCCCGUCGCUCAACGACGGAAUUGCCUUUGAUACUGCCGAGCUUGAAUUAGGUUGAGGUAGGC
Molecule: ribosomal RNA, 455 nt
Filed under: uncultured Saprospiraceae bacterium
Lineage: Bacteria; Pseudomonadati; Bacteroidota; Saprospiria; Saprospirales; Saprospiraceae
Description: bacterial SSU rRNA
Rfam family: Bacterial small subunit ribosomal RNA
Source: RNAcentral